AGAGUUUGAUCCUGGCUCAGGAUGAACGCUGGCGGCGUGCCUAACACAUGCAAGUCGAGCGAGCGGAACUAACAGAUUUACUUAGGUAAUGACGUUAGGAAAGCGAGCGGCGGAUGGGUGAGUAACACGUGGGGAACCUGCCCCAUAGUCUGGGAUACCACUUGGAAACAGGUGCUAAUACCGCGG
RNAcentral lists this ribosomal RNA (186 nucleotides) under uncultured bacterium. Its description in RNAcentral is "partial 16S ribosomal RNA". It matches the Rfam family "Bacterial small subunit ribosomal RNA", at positions 8 to 174 of the family's 1533-position model. The record is from RNAcentral.